This is a long non-coding RNA of Neofelis nebulosa (Clouded leopard), 4113 nucleotides long. RefSeq lists it as uncharacterized. Lineage: Eukaryota; Metazoa; Chordata; Mammalia; Carnivora; Felidae. The transcript is spliced from 3 exons. The record is from RefSeq and is a predicted model, not a curated record.
GCGAGCCCGUCGCGGGCGACACUUGCCGCAGCUUAGCCGAGGGCCGCACCCUGCGGGACGCUCGGAUCUCAGGGCGCCCAGCGGCCCAGCCGCCCUGGUCAGCCGCCAGCCCUGGGCCCGGGUCCCCGUGUCCCAGAGCUCUGCCCCUGCCUCCACAGACCCCUGUCCAGCCCGGCACCGCCCUCUGUGGCGAGGCGCCGGACUCACCGAGCGCGCCCCGCAGGGCCCAGGGCCCGCACUCCCGCGCGCGCCGCACCGACGAGGCUGGAGCGGGAGCGGCUGUGGCGGUGGCCGGGCCGCGGCGGCGCGGGGAGGGGCCCCGAGGAGACAGCCUGCUCCACUCUUGCGGCAACAGUCCCUGACGUCCUGGUGGAGAGGCAAUGAGGACACAGGAGACAGAUGCUGAGAUUAAGAAAGGUAAAGCGACUUGACUGCAGUCACAAGUAAGUGGUGAAAUCAGACUGAAACCCAUAUGUCUCUUAACACUCUACCCCUGCUGCUGAAGAUCAUAACUGGCAUCUCUAUUUCUUCCCUUCCUUGGGAAGCCAUAUGGUGGCUCUACCAUCCCUGUGUUACCUCAAUCACCACCAACCGACUAUUACUCCAGUCUCUCUUAUUCCUGCCUCGACUGACCUUGGAAGAAGAGGACACCCUCAUCUUGGCAUUCCCCACGGUGACAUUCCACAGCUGCAUCCACUGGGGAUGGAAUUCCAGGAAACUCUUCUUGGAGCAACUUAGGAUAUCCUUUCUCUUUCUUCUCCGGAGGGUACACCCAGACUUUGUCCCCCUGCAUAUAAAUCACUCUAUUUUUAACUGUGCACCUCCACAUGCUGCCAUUCUGCAUUUACACACAACAUCUUUGAUAUAUUGCAUCUAUACAAUGUCCUCCUGUAGGUCUACACACUUUCGAUCCACCUGUGGAUAACAAUGUGCUGACCCCUUGCACAAAUACUAGUAUGUGCAAAUCCCACCACUGUUGCUAUAAUACAUGCACACAUCUGGCUGUGUACAACCAGAGACUCCCAUGGCACACUUAUCUGUAACACCAUUAGUCUUGGCAAACACAUCCACACAUAGUCAUCCUGCAGUCAUCCAUCCAUUCAUACAUUCAUUUGUUUAUCUAUGUAUUCAUCCAUUCACUCAAGAAACAGUUGCUAAAUGACUACCAUAUGCCAGAUAUUGUGAAAGGCACUGAGGAUAAAAGGAUAACAAGAUUGUCUCUGCCUUCAAAGAGUUCACUGUAGAAAAGCAGAAAGGAUCCUACAAUCCUAGCCAUGCAGCCACCAAAGUGGAAACAUGUGAAGUGCAUUGGGAAUAUAGGCAGAGUGUUUAAGCUUACUUAGAGAAUUCCUGGAAGCCUUCACAGAGGAGGAAGCAUUUAGGCCUGAGUAGGAAUUUUUCAGGUGGACAAGUGUGGAAAGGGUGUUACCAGCAGAGGGAGCAGAGGGAGCAGCCAGCACAAAGCCUGCACAAACAACUACAUGUAGUCUCAUGUAGCUGGCACACAGUGAAUGUGGUGGGGGAGGAGAAAAGCUUGGAAAGAUAACCAAAGGCCAGAACUCGAGCCCCAUGUGUACCUGACUUGUAGGAAUUGGCACAGUGUGGUACCACUUAGUGAAACAGGGGACACAGCAGGAAGGGUAGGUUUGUGAGAAAGAUACUAAGUUCAGUUUGGGAGAUAUUGAAUUUGAGGUGCUACAGAACAUCUAAGUCGAAGAUGUCUGCAGGAAAUAGGAACGAGAUGUCUGGAGCUCUGGGAGAUAUCCAGAUCUGGUGUCCACAACACAGAGAGUCCUCAGAGCUGUAGCAAUGGUUGAGAUCACCCAGGGAGGGUAUAUCUGGGACAGAUCUCCAAGGAACAUACAGGGACUGGCUGAGGAUAAGAGCAAGAAAGAGGCAGGAGGGGAAAUCAAGCUGGCAGCGAGGGCUGCCCCAAGCACACAGCACCUUAUGCAAAUUAGGAGAAGGCACCCCUUCCUCUGAGCAGACAUAGCCUGGGCCAGGGCAUGGGACUUGGUGAGCACAGAAGACUUGAUUUCAUCUUCCACUCACACCCUAGUCAGAUGCCAUUGUUAUGAACAGCCUGGCCACCAUACAAAGAGUACUUGAUGCAGAGUCAUGGAAAUCAAGGGAAGAAAUUACCAGGAAGGAAAGGAUGGCCAAAAGCAUCAGGAGUAGCAGAGAAGUCUGUAUAAAGAUUGGGCCUGAAGAAUAGCCCCUGGAUGCUGUGCCUGCCAGGCCCACAUGCACAUACACUCGCUUGGCUUGAGCUUCUUCAGGAAAAUAAGGCACAGGGGGAGGAAGUCUGGAACCUACAGGUAAGGAGUCCAUGCUAGGGCCACCUGUGGGAGGCUCUAUAAUGUCCAUUCUAGCCCUUCCCGGCCCAGCCCUGACCUUGGCCCAGAAGUACCUUGAUCAGGAAGACACUGUUGUGACCACGGCGGAAUGCAGCAUCCACAGGGCUGGUGAAAUUCUUCCACCUCUCUGAGAUUAACUCCCGGACCCAUUUGUGACUCUUCCACACGAACUCCCCUGAAAAACACACACUCACUGAGGGACCCAGAACAAACAUUUGGCCUACUGAGAUAGUUACAGAGAAGCUGUGUGUGAUACCCUCAGAUAAUUUCUGAGAUCUUCCACAGACAGAUACACCCUCGGUGAAUGGGACCAAGUCUGAAGUCCCAAAUGCCCCAAACCCAGCCCCUCCUACCUUUAAAAAAGAGCAUGGCCCCAUGUUCAUCCAGGGUGGUAGCAUCAAAGCUCCAGCCAUCCGAACAGGGUUCUGGGAUGGAGGUGGGGAGAUGCAAGUAAAAGACCAGUCAGGUAAUACAAUGCAGAGACACAGACAGACAGACAGAUUCAGGGAGUUGGGGCCUCACCUGUCACAUCUGGGUUCACUCUGGCCCCACUCCCACCUUCAGCUCCGUUCCCAGGGGUACCAUCCCUAGAGACAAGACAGAUAGUUGUCUGGAUCCACUGGGCCAAAUCCCUCUCCUUUAGCUCCUGUCUUCAAACUUGCAGGGCCCUAAAAACUGGCCCUAUCCCACUUUAGCCCAGUCCCCAAUCCUUCCCCAACCCCAGCUUUACUCACGGAGGAAGAGGGUGGGCAAGGGUCAGAGACCAGCACAGGCCCAACAACCCCAGUGCAACUGGUACGCCCAGUGCACGAGCCAUGCUGAGAUGCCACAGGAUAGCUCUGGGCACCUGGAUGAGCCCCCUAUAUAGAGAUGGCAGCAGCACCACCCCCACCACGAGCCUGCUGAAACUCCAAGUCCUGUCUGUCAGAACUAUGCCAAUAUUGGCUGAUUACAUCAGCGCAAAUAAGGUCAGGGUCUGGACAGAAAUCUGAGUCCAAGACUAACUCUUCCCGGCAAGAGGCCCCAUCCCCCUUCAAUGACUUUUGAGCAGUAACUAGCCCCUGCCAUUGAUGCCCAGUUGUGACUCUCAUCACCUUGGUGAUGGGUCCAGGUGCCCAUAAGGUCAAGGAAGGGCAUAGAUGGAUUGAGAAGCACCUUUCUGUGGUUGGAUUUACCUCUAUAAUGGGGGAGGAGAGAAGAGGAAAUUACCACUUUUGUGUACUAAGUGUCAAGCCCUGCUCUAAGAUAGCUAAAGACACUGAUACACAUAUUUAGCAAGCAGACAUUCAUACAAACAUACUUAGACAUACUCAGAGAACAGCUUUUUUCCAAGCUUUAUCAAGGGUCUUUCUGGGGGCAUUCCCAAAUCUCUUCAGCUUUGCCCUUAAUGGGUCAAUAAUAUUUCGCUGUCGCCAAAUGUCCAAGUCCUGCCCCCAGCCCCACCCCUACUGGCAAAGAGCUUUGAAAAAUCACCUGGGAGGGAAGGGCUAAAUGGGGCAGAAAGAGGUGUCUCUCUCCCAGAUUGCAUUUCUAGUAAUUAGUCUUUCUUGGUAGUUUCCACCUUAAGGGAAAAGUACUUUAUUUACCCAUCACAGAAUAAAUAGAACUGUAACUGGGGUUUCACAAUAUUUACUGCUGAGUCUUGCUUAAAUGCUAUCUUCUGAAUGAAGUCUUUCUCGACCACCUUAUCUAGCCAUUUCAGACACUUGCAUAUUUCCUUUAUGUCACUUAUUAAAUCUUGAAAUUAUUUCAUCUA